This is a long non-coding RNA of Mauremys mutica (yellowpond turtle), 253 nucleotides long. RefSeq lists it as uncharacterized. The transcript is spliced from 3 exons. The record is from RefSeq and is a predicted model, not a curated record. NCBI's taxonomy places the organism in Eukaryota, Metazoa, Chordata, Testudines, Geoemydidae.
CUAAUGCUGCUAAUGUACUGCCUACUGUGUAUGUGUAUGACUGCCAUCUAAAGUACAGAACAUCAGACCAGCUCAGCAAGGGAGACAGUUGGAACUGACAUGGCUGAGGACUAAGCCACAGGAGGAGGAAGCUGCUGCCCAGAGAGAGAGAGAGGGAACUACCACACCAUGCACAGCUGCAAGGAGAAAACUACUGGAGGGAAGAAAUCACCAAGAAUACAAUUUCAAUGUGAGAAGCUACAAAAAAGAACUG